Molecule: ribosomal RNA, 460 nt
Filed under: uncultured bacterium
Lineage: Bacteria
Description: partial 16S ribosomal RNA
Rfam family: Bacterial small subunit ribosomal RNA
Source: RNAcentral
CCUACGGGUGGCAGCAGUGAGGAAUAUUGGUCAAUGGACGCAAGUCUGAACCAGCCAUGCCGCGUGCAGGAAGACGGCUCUAUGAGUUGUAAACUGCUUUUGUACGAGGGUAAACGCAGAUACGCGUAUCUGUCUGAAAGUAUCGUACGAAUAAGGAUCGGCUAACUCCGUGCCAGCAGCCGCGGUAAUACGGAGGAUUCAAGCGUUAUCCGGAUUUAUUGGGUUUAAAGGGUGCGUAGGCGGUCGAAUAAGUUAGAGGUGAAAUCCCGAGGCUCAACUUCGGAAUUGCCUCUGAUACUGUACGGCUAGAGAGUAGUUGCGGUAGGCGGAAUGUAUGGGGUAGCGGUGAAAUGCUUAGAGAUCAUACAGAACACCGAUUGCGAAGGCAGCUUACCAGGCUACUUCUGACGUUGAGGCACGAAAGCGUGGGGAGCGAACAGGAUUAGAUACCCGGGUAGUC